AACGAACGCUGGCGGCAUGCCUAACACAUGCAAGUCGAACGAGACCUUCGGGUCUAGUGGCGCACGGGUACGUAACGCGUGGGAACCUGCCCUUAGGUUCGGAAUAACUCCCCGAAAGGGGUGCUAAUACCGGAUAAUGUCUUCGGACCAAAGAUUUAUCGCCUUUGGAUGGGCCCGCGUUGGAUUAGCUAGUUGGUAGGGUAAAAGCCUACCAAGGCGACGAUCCAUAGCUGGUCUGAGAGGAUGAUCAGCCACACUGGGACUGAGACACGGCCCAGACUCCUACGGGAGGCAGCAGUGGGGAAUAUUGGACAAUGGGCGAAAGCCUGAUCCAGCAAUGCCGCGUGAGUGAUGAAGGCCUUAGGGUUGUAAAGCUCUUUUGCCCGGGAUGAUAAUGACAGUACCGGGAGAAUAAGCUCCGGCUAACUCCGUG
Molecule: ribosomal RNA, 433 nt
Filed under: uncultured bacterium
Lineage: Bacteria
Description: partial 16S ribosomal RNA
Rfam family: Bacterial small subunit ribosomal RNA
Source: RNAcentral